UUAAAUUGAAGAGUUUGAUCAUGGCUCAGAUUGAACGCUGGCGGCAGGCCUAACACAUGCAAGUCGAACGGUAACAGGAAGCAGCUUGCUGCUUUGCUGACGAGUGGCGGACGGGUGAGUAAUGUCUGGGAAACUGCCUGAUGGAGGGGGAUAACUACUGGAAACGGUGGCUAAUACCGCAUAAUGUCGCAAGACCAAAGAGGGGGACCUUCGGGCCUCUUGCCAUCAGAUGUGCCCAGAUGGGAUUAGCUUGUUGGUGAGGUAACGGCUCACCAAGGCGACGAUCCCUAGCUGGUCUGAGAGGAUGACCAGCCACACUGGAACUGAGACACGGUCCAGACUCCUACGGGAGGCAGCAGUGGGGAAUAUUGCACAAUGGGCGCAAGCCUGAUGCAGCCAUGCCGCGUGUAUGAAGAAGGCCUUCGGGUUGUAAAGUACUUUCAGCGGGGAGGAAGGUGUUGUGGUUAAUAACCACAGCAAUUGACGUUACCCGCAGAAGAAGCACCGGCUAACUCCGUGCCAGCAGCCGCGGUAAUACGGAGGGUGCAAGCGUUAAUCGGAAUUACUGGGCGUAAAGCGCACGCAGGCGGUCUGUCAAGUCGGAUGUGAAAUCCCCGGGCUCAACCUGGGAACUGCAUUCGAAACUGGCAGGCUUGAGUCUUGUAGAGGGGGGUAGAAUUCCAGGUGUAGCGGUGAAAUGCGUAGAGAUCUGGAGGAAUACCGGUGGCGAAGGCGGCCCCCUGGACAAAGACUGACGCUCAGGUGCGAAAGCGUGGGGAGCAAACAGGAUUAGAUACCCUGGUAGUCCACGCCGUAAACGAUGUCUACUUGGAGGUUGUGCCCUUGAGGCGUGGCUUCCGGAGCUAACGCGUUAAGUAGACCGCCUGGGGAGUACGGCCGCAAGGUUAAAACUCAAAUGAAUUGACGGGGGCCCGCACAAGCGGUGGAGCAUGUGGUUUAAUUCGAUGCAACGCGAAGAACCUUACCUGGUCUUGACAUCCACGGAACUUUCCAGAGAUGGAUUGGUGCCUUCGGGAACCGUGAGACAGGUGCUGCAUGGCUGUCGUCAGCUCGUGUUGUGAAAUGUUGGGUUAAGUCCCGCAACGAGCGCAACCCUUAUCCUUUGUUGCCAGCGGUCCGGCCGGGAACUCAAAGGAGACUGCCAGUGAUAAACUGGAGGAAGGUGGGGAUGACGUCAAGUCAUCAUGGCCCUUACGACCAGGGCUACACACGUGCUACAAUGGCGCAUACAAAGAGAAGCGACCUCGCGAGAGCAAGCGGACCUCAUAAAGUGCGUCGUAGUCCGGAUUGGAGUCUGCAACUCGACUCCAUGAAGUCGGAAUCGCUAGUAAUCGUGGAUCAGAAUGCCACGGUGAAUACGUUCCCGGGCCUUGUACACACCGCCCGUCACACCAUGGGAGUGGGUUGCAAAAGAAGUAGGUAGCUUAACCUUCGGGAGGGCGCUUACCACUUUGUGAUUCAUGACUGGGGUGAAGUCGUAACAAGGUAACCGUAGGGGAACCUGCGGUUGGAUCACCUCCUUACCUUAAAGAA
RNAcentral lists this ribosomal RNA (1554 nucleotides) under Salmonella enterica subsp. enterica serovar Rubislaw str. SA20030553. Its description in RNAcentral is "bacterial SSU rRNA". It matches the Rfam family "Bacterial small subunit ribosomal RNA". The record is from RNAcentral. Lineage: Bacteria; Pseudomonadati; Pseudomonadota; Gammaproteobacteria; Enterobacterales; Enterobacteriaceae.